This 262-nucleotide ribosomal RNA is filed under the name uncultured bacterium. RNAcentral describes it as "partial 16S ribosomal RNA". It matches the Rfam family "Bacterial small subunit ribosomal RNA", at positions 92 to 354 of the family's 1533-position model. The record is from RNAcentral.
CGAGUGGCGGACGGGUGAGUAACGCGUGGGCAACCUGCCCUGUACUGGGGGAUAACACCUGGAAACAGGUGCUAAUACCGCAUAAGCGCGCUGUGCCGCAUGGCGCGGCGCGGAAAACCCCGGUGGUACAGGAUGGGCCCGCGUCUGAUUAGCUUGUUGGCGGGGUAGGGGCCCACCAAGGCGACGAUCAGUAGCCGGCCUGAGAGGGUGAACGGCCACAUUGGGACUGAGACACGGCCCAAACUCCUACGGGAGGCAGCAG